This 227-nucleotide unclassified non-coding RNA is filed under the name uncultured Geminibasidium. Its description in RNAcentral is "sequence contains ITS2". The record is from RNAcentral. Lineage: Eukaryota; Fungi; Basidiomycota; Geminibasidiomycetes; Geminibasidiales; Geminibasidiaceae.
ACACCUCAACCCUCCAGUGUUUUUUCAUUGAAGGCGUUGGUAGUGAGCGCUGCCGGAUUUUUGAAUCGGCUCGCUUUAAAAUCAUUAGCUGGAUCCAUUCUGACCUGGUUCUACUCGGCGUAAUAAGUUAUUAUCGUCGAGGACGCCUGGCCUUCUAGGCUGACGGCCACAGUAAGGGUGUUUGAACCGCUUCUAACGCGUCUUGCUCUUGUAGCAAACACUUGAAC